Aegilops tauschii subsp. strangulata is the source of this 2441-nucleotide long non-coding RNA. RefSeq lists it as uncharacterized. The record is from RefSeq and is a predicted model, not a curated record. Lineage: Eukaryota; Viridiplantae; Streptophyta; Magnoliopsida; Poales; Poaceae.
UGCAUGUCUCGAUCCUUCGAUAUCACGCAUCCUUCUCUGCUUAUUAGCCGCCGGCCGCCUCAUGACACCUUCAUCUCCUUCUGCUGCCCUCGUUCGCCUUGCCGCCGGUCGAACCAUGCGACGCCGUCGACCUACUGGCUACUGCAGAGGGCACUGAUUCAAGGCACACCCAACGUCAUCUAUGAUUAGAGGAAAAAAUUCUGCAUGGACUCCGUGAAACCGAGGAGGAACUGAUCAGAUUAAAAGAGAAGUAUGAUGCCCAGUUGUAUGGAAAUAUUUCAUACAUUUAGGACUACUGUCAUGGGAAGAUUGAUGGAAAUAUUACCAAGAAAAUGAAUAUACUGCACAAUGUAUUCAUUUUCUAAGCUUACUGCAGUAUAUUCAGAACAAGGAAAAGAGCAGAUUACUGCAGUGUAUUCAGAACAAGGAAAACGGCAGUUGUCCAACUUUUCUCCACGUUAUCUAUGGUAUGGGCUCAGUUUAAGUUUGAACCCUUUUAUUUUAUAUUUUUCGUAGUUGACAGUUUGCUACUCAUCUUUGUGCACUAAGCCUUGAUGGAUAGUACAUCCACAUGUCCUCCUCUGUUUAAGUAUCUUGCUUAUAAAUCCAAACAAAUUAGUCAGUGCUGACUGUGUUAUCUUCCCAACUAUUCUGCAAUUUGCAUAUGCUGAACUGACUAAAUAUGCCUAUUUGUCCAAGGUCUGAACAACAUGUUUGAGAUUUUAAACCACAAAAAUUGUCAUUCUCUAUUUUUUAUUCACUUAAUGUACCUUAUAAGGUUUCAUGCAUAGUUUCUUUUUGUUGCAACAAAUUCUGUUUUCAACUCGACAAUUUGGAUCUCGGUACUUAUGUGUAUAAUCACUCAUGCUCUAUUCAGCCUAAUGCUUUGAGCAAAAAGAAUUGGUACUCACUUUGGCAAACAGAGAGAAAGGAAUAUGUUUUUUUUGUUGAUAUUGGAGCUCCAUCACCCACUGUCAAGUAUUGCAAGCAAGCAACUAAAGCAACUACAGUGGCCAAUAAUGCAUAUAUGAAGAUUGAUUUACAACAACAGCUCCAACAUUUGUACAUAAUCUUUCAUAUUGUGUCUCUUUCCGAAUCCCCGUUAGUGUGUUUAUAUACAUUAAUAUUCCUGCAAGUCAAACGAGAUUACUUAAUUAUGCCAUAUCAAGAUGUGUCCAUUGCAGUUUUCUCAUCUUAAGUUCUUAAUACAUUAUGCAAAAAGUUAUUCAAUUUAUCUAUCAUCAUUUUCAUAGGACUAAGAGUUCCCGCAGCAAUGCGCGGGGUAUCAUCUAGUAUAUAUAUUAGUACACUGCACAAGGUUGUUUUGGCGAGAAGCGUACCUUGUGCAGCAAACUGCUAUACUUCAUGUAGGAGUGAGCCUAUUGUUUUGUAAGGCAAAAAUCAUGUUCUACUCCCGAGCUCAUUUGAGCUUGGGAUGGAGAGUAAAAUCUAAAAAUAAUUAAAAAAAAUAAAAAAAAUUGAAAUAUCUUUGGUGCAAAUAUUGCCAAAAGUUUUACGUGCUCACAAAAUUUCAUGUUGAAAAGACAUUUUUGGAAAUCGUGGCAAAAGAAACAAAAUCAACACUCCAAAAUGCUUUCGAAAACAACAUUUCAUGUUCUACUCCCGAGCUCAUUUGAGCUUGGGAUGGACAGUAAAAUCUAAAAAAAAAUAAAAUAAAAUUGAAAUAUUUUUGGUGCAAAUAUUGCCAAAAGUUUUACGUGCUCACAAAAUUUCAUGUUGAGAAGACAUUUUUGGAAAUCGUGGCAAAAGAAACAAAAUCAACACUCCAAAAUGCUUUCGAAAACAACAUUUUUGAAGCAUCAAUUUUUUUUUUUACGAUGACUUUCAAAAAUGUGAUUUUGAGAUGAAUUUUUGUGAGCACGUAAUUUUUUUGUCAAUGUUUGUACCCAAAAAAUCAGAAAUUUUGAUUUUUAUUGGAUUUUACUGUUCACCCAAGCACAUGUGAGCUCGGGCUCAGAAACUCCACAUCCUUUGUAAGCAGCUUUUUUAUAUAGAAAGUCAUAUUACGAGUGGGCUCGCAUUUUAGUUUUUUCUAGUGCAAGCUAUGCCUAUUAUGAAAUGCACAACAAUAGCUGCUAUCCUUGUUUUAGGUUCUGCCAAUGGCCGACUGGGAUGUCUCUACUGUCUCAUCACCUCGAUGAUAUAUUGUCAGGGUAAGGAAUUAUUAGGAAAUACACGCACAUUUUCAGCUUAUCGUGUUUACUCUAAACAAUAUUUCUUCUAAACAAAAUAUAAUAUUAUUUAUGAUCUAGUGUCUAUUUGCAAAAAUUCUUUCUAAACAUCAAAUUAUUUGUUAGCUAUUUCCGCAGCAGCGUGUGAGGUAUCAUCUACCAACCCACACCAUGACAAAGGAAUUGCUUCAUACAACCAAUAGGUCUUAGGGAUGCAAGAGUGGGUCCCACUAAGCCCGCAAAACAUGA